RNAcentral lists this ribosomal RNA (667 nucleotides) under uncultured beta proteobacterium. Its description in RNAcentral is "bacterial SSU rRNA". It matches the Rfam family "Bacterial small subunit ribosomal RNA", at positions 53 to 717 of the family's 1533-position model. Lineage: Bacteria; Pseudomonadati; Pseudomonadota; Betaproteobacteria. The record is from RNAcentral.
ACAUGCAAGUCGAACGGUAACAGGUCUUCGGAUGCUGACGAGUGGCGAACGGGUGAGUAAUACAUCGGAACGUGCCCGAGAGUGGGGGAUAACGAAGCGAAAGCUUUGCUAAUACCGCAUACGAUCUCAGGAUGAAAGCAGGGGACCGCAAGGCCUUGCGCUCACGGAGCGGCCGAUGGCAGAUUAGGUAGUUGGUGGGAUAAAAGCUUACCAAGCCGACGAUCUGUAGCUGGUCUGAGAGGACGACCAGCCACACUGGGACUGAGACACGGCCCAGACUCCUACGGGAGGCAGCAGUGGGGAAUUUUGGACAAUGGGCGCAAGCCUGAUCCAGCCAUGCCGCGUGCAGGAUGAAGGCCUUCGGGUUGUAAACUGCUUUUGUACGGAACGAAAAGACUCUGGUUAAUACCUGGGGUCCAUGACGGUACCGUAAGAAUAAGCACCGGCUAACUACGUGCCAGCAGCCGCGGUAAUACGUAGGGCGCGAGCGUUAAUCGGAAUUACUGGGCGUAAAGCGUGCGCAGGCGGUUAUGUAAGACAGAUGUGAAAUCCCCGGGCUCAACCUGGGAACUGCAUUUGUGACUGCAUAGCUAGAGUACGGCAGAGGGGGAUGGAAUUCCGCGUGUAGCAGUGAAAUGCGUAGAUAUGCGGAGGAACACCGAUGGCG